RNAcentral lists this ribosomal RNA (1624 nucleotides) under activated sludge metagenome. Its description in RNAcentral is "bacterial LSU rRNA". It matches the Rfam family "Bacterial large subunit ribosomal RNA", at positions 1335 to 2925 of the family's 2925-position model. The record is from RNAcentral.
CGCCGUAAGCCCAAGGUUUCCUGGGGAAGGAUAAUCCUCCCAUGGGUUAGUCGGUUCCUAAGCUGAGCCCGAAAGGGGUAGGUGAUGGCAAGCAGGUUAAUAUUCCUGCACCACUAUAUGUACGUUGACCUGAGCAGGGACGGAGAAGGGUAGGCUGAGCCAGCCGUUUGGUUGUGCUGGUUCAAGCGCGUAGGCGGUUCCCGUAGGACCCAAUAGGGACAAACGCGGGGGCAACGCCGAGACGUGAUGAGGAGGAGCUCCGGCUCCGUAACUCAGUGAUCCCAUGCUUCCAAGAAAAGCUGCGCAGUGAGUGCAUGUAGUGACCGUACCGCAAACCGACUCAGGUGGGCGGGGUGAAUAUCCCAAGGCGCGUGGGAGAACACUGGCUAAGGAACUCGGCAAAUUGACACCGUAACUUCGGGAGAAGGUGUGCCCCCAUUACGUGAAAGCCCUGCGGCCGUAGCGGAAGGGGGUUGCAGAGAAAUGAGGGUUGCGACUGUUUACCAAAAACACAGGACUCUGCGAACUCGUAAGAGGACGUAUAGGGUCUGACGCCUGCCCGGUGCUGGAAGGUUAAGGGGAGAUGUUAGUCUUCGGGCGAAGCUUCGAACCGAAGCCCCAGUAAACGGCGGCCGUAACUAUAACGGUCCUAAGGUAGCGAAAUUCCUUGUCGGGUAAGUUCCGACCUGCACGAAUGGCGUAACGACAUCCCUACUGUCUCGGCCAGUGACCCAGCGAAAUUGUAUUGGGGGUGAAGAUACCCUCUACCCGCGGCAAGACGGAAAGACCCCGUGAACCUUUACUGCAACUUGGCAGUGAAGCUCGGGACAUUCUGCGUAGGAUAGGUGGGAGACUUUGAAACCGGGGUUCCGGCUUCGGUGGAGUCAACCUUGAAAUACCACCCUGAAUGUUCUGGGCUUCUAACCCAGCACCGUUAUCCGGUGCGGGGACACUGUCUGGUGGGCAGUUUGACUGGGGCGGUCGCCUCCCAAAAAGUAACGGAGGCGCGCGACGGUUCCCUCAGGCUGAUUGGAAACCAGCCGCAGAGUGCAAAGGCAUAAGGGAGCUUGACUGUGAGACCGACAGGUCGAGCAGGUGCGAAAGCAGGUCUUAGUGAUCCGGUGGCUCCGAAUGGAAGGGUCAUCGCUCAACGGAUAAAAGGUACUCCGGGGAUAACAGGCUGAUCGCGCCUGAGAGUUCAUAUCGGCGGCGCGGUUUGGCACCUCGAUGUCGGCUCAUCGCAUCCUGGGGCUGGAGCAGGUCCCAAGGGUUUGGCUGUUCGCCAAUUAAAGCGGUACGCGAGCUGGGUUCAGAACGUCGUGAGACAGUUCGGUCCCUAUCUGCCGUGGGCGCAGGAUACUUGAGAGGAUUUGACCAUAGUACGAGAGGACCUGGUUGAACGUACCUCUAGUGUUCCGGUUGUCCUGCCAAGGGCAUAGCCGGGUAGCUAUGUACGGAACGGAUAACCGCUGAAAGCAUCUAAGCGGGAAGCCGGCCUCAAGAUGAGGUAUCCCGGACCUUCGGGUCCCUAAAGGCCCCUUGUAGACUACGAGGUAAUAGGCAGGGUGUGGAAGUGUGGCAACACAUGGAGCUGACCUGUACUAAUCGGCCGUGCGGCUUGACC